UUCGCAAGUUUCGUCGCGUCGCGAGAUUUCAAUGGAGUCGGUAGACGCUCGUUAUUGUUAUCGGGCUAAAAUCUUAAGUAUUAUAAUGUGUCGUGCUACACAGCACUGAGCUGAGAAUGGCGAUACUUCCGCGGAGCUCUGGAGCGUAGAAUUAUUUUCGUCCAAAUCCGCGAUAGAGGCAUAAAGAAGGGACGUGCGACAUCCUGCAGUGCAGGCGGCCAUUGCCGAGGCAUAAAUCAUCGACGCAAGGAUUGCAUUUCAAUGCUCGGGUCUUUCUCGCCGCACACCGAGAGAACUAUAGGGUCUCCUGUUUACGCACUCGAUGCGCUGUGCUUGUCGAACGGAGCCAAACGCGUUGCUCGUCGAGUGGUCGGCCGGGAAAACGACAGGAGGCGACACCCUCGUUACAGAUGCAGGGAACGCGUAUCCGGCGUGCAUAGCAGGACGACCAACAACAACACGACUCUCAGAAACUCAAACUCCUACAACCCCCGCCGACUCCCUCUUUAACUGACUCCGCACCUUCGACAUCGUCCUCCUUCCGAACCUUCUUCUCCCUGUGUCUCUCUACGUACCUCCUUUAUUUCCUGAGUCUGACUCACCUGCCCGUUCGCUGAAGAGAAUCGCUAACUAACCUCACUGCUAUAUCUCCAGAUACGUAAGGCACGAGUGGAAUGACAAAGCAUUUUGAGUCGAGGGUGUUACACCCUACAGUGUCAGUGAAAGCCACCUUUUUUACUCAUCUCCAGCCUGCAGCGACUGUCAGGAUCAUCUGUUCGGUUCGACGUAACCUUUUCGUAAGACUCCGCGAGAACAAGAGUGCCUGCGUUACUACGGCCAAUAGAAUAAAUCUCAGUUUGAGGCACGCAUGUGCGUAUGGCCGGAGCCACGCACUGGGCGUGUCGCACGCAACGCCCGGCACGUGGAUACCGAGGACUUGCGACGCCUGCACUUUAUUUCUCUAUGGGAUGGACGCGAUGCUACGCGUUGCGACGCGGUUUGUCUUCCUUGACGGCUGAUGGGCCUGUCGAACUACGCGACAGGAAUAAGACAUGCUGAAAUCGAACAGCGUCCAGGCGCAUUCAAUUAUCUGCUGCUUCGAGUGCGAAGGCGGCCAGCCAGCAGCGGUGACGCGUAGCCGCGUGGAAGGUAUCGGUCAUCCACCACGCGAAGGAAGAGACGAGCAGCCCGAUCGGACGUAUUUCUUCGCAGGAGGAUUUCAUAAGGAUAACAGGAGACGGCACGUCGAGGGACAGGAGAAUAAAGGUCGCGAGGAGAGCAGCAGCAGCAGCAGACACGGGCUCGUGCGUGGCGGAUAAUGUCGGUGCUGCCGUUUACUCUUGCGAGUCCACAUCACUUACAAGCGUAGGCCGUUCUCUUUCACCGUCGAGCACGAAUAUAAAAGUGAAUUAAGAUUCUCUCGUGCUCCUCCCCGGCGUUACGGCGAUCCGUCUGUCAACCGACGUCGGCCAAUCACGCACGGCCAUUUAUGUGUGCCGUAUUGUGAAACCAAUACAGCUACCGAGCGUAAAUUAUGAGCGCUCUUUAUUAUAUGUAGAUAAGCAUACGUACCGGAGCGCUUAUACCGCGCGCUUUCCUCCCUCUCUUCCACACAUGCUCACGCACAGGCACCACACUCCUUAUGGAUUCAAUUUCGCAAUGGCCAUCUUGGAUUUUCGACGGAGACACGAUUCGACAUAAACAACAAACAUACCGGCGGAAUGCAAGUCUUACUUUGCUAACAAACGACACCUGCUCCUUACGCUCCAACGGGGAUCCGUCCCAUCGAUCGCUGCUGUUCUUCCUGCCGAAUCGGAGGAAAAAAAGGAGAGACUCUGGGACGGACGAGAAAAAAGUGCGCGAACCUCUUCUUCGAUUUCGAGGCGGACAUCGAUUUUUAUUAAUACAUCAAUCGAGGUUGGGUAACCCGAGCCGACAACUCAUUUGGGUCCGGCUAAUCGAAUUAAGAUCGAACUCCCCGAUAGAGAGACGUGAGUCUCAACACCUUGUCAUUCAAGGUGGAAGCAUUCAAUUAGGAGGAUUCUGAUAUCUAGCCGUGCGCCAGGAGUAGGCGAUGAAUUAGUUGCGUAUCGUGUUCUUGUAGGACGGGAUCGAUCUAUCAAAAACAACCCGAUACUCGACGUUUCUCUACUCGUGCGAGACCACACGCAUCAUUUCUUCGGAAUCACCUGCAUUCAUAGAAUUCAUCAUCCGUAAGGAGUCGUCUCUUCUUUUGCGCCUUUACAUUGAUCGCUGACAAAUGAUUUGUGACAUUGGCUCAGUCGGCGACUGACUCCUAUCAGGGUGCUUAAGAUCAUUGACCUUUGGUAAUUGUCAGUAAUUAGUGCGGAGCUUAAGUAUCUUUACAAGCGAUCCCCAGACCCCUCUCUCUCUUUCU
This is a long non-coding RNA of Cephus cinctus (wheat stem sawfly), 2398 nucleotides long. RefSeq lists it as uncharacterized. NCBI's taxonomy places the organism in Eukaryota, Metazoa, Arthropoda, Insecta, Hymenoptera, Cephidae. The transcript is spliced from 5 exons. The record is from RefSeq and is a predicted model, not a curated record.